Molecule: long non-coding RNA, 898 nt
Organism: Suricata suricatta (meerkat)
Lineage: Eukaryota; Metazoa; Chordata; Mammalia; Carnivora; Herpestidae
Exons: 2
Source: RefSeq, a predicted model, not a curated record
UAGGGAAAGCUAAGGAUGGGAGAGCGUGAAGGACAGUGACUGCAGCAGGGAGAUCAAGGAAGACAAGAUUUAAGAAGGUGCCUUCUGAUUUGUCAGUGGGUCAAGGGUUCUACUAAAAGACCUACAAUGACUGAUGCAUCAUGUGAGAGAAAUACUUGGAAAAUACUGAUAAGGAACAGUAAACAAACUGACAUUUGUAUUUCACCUUCAACUGAAACCAACACUGAGCCACAUGGGCCAGGUCGUGAUGACAGAACACUUCCUCUGUGAAAGGAGUCAAUGGGGAUAUGAUAACUACUUCCUACCUGCUCAGUUUCCUGUUUGUAUCUAUCUGCACGCUCCUCAAUGGAUUUCUUCUCCGACUGAGUUUGUUCCAGGUCUUUCCGGAGCUUGGCAAUUUCUUCCUGCAGACUGAGGACACGUCCAGUAGCAAUCUUAGCCUCCUCCUCACUUAGUUGAAGACGCUCUAAGUCACUUCGUAGUUUCUCAGUCUCAGAGGUGUAUAUUCCUUCUAGAUUGGUCAGUUUUUCCACGAGGCAUUUGUAGUCUUUGUUCUUUUAAACACAUACAUAAGUAACAGUAAGUAAACAUAUACAUCAAAUGUAUAUGUAUAUGUAUCUCAAAUGUAUUUUGAGAUAACCUUAUUUAUUGAUCAUCUUCAUGCUGUAUCACCAUAGCAUUGAUAGAGUAUCUAACCGCAACCCGUACAAGUAAGACCCUCUUAGUGAUACAAUGAGAGAAAAGAAUAGGCAGAGUUAAUUCUGUAACAUGGAGGUCAUUUUCUCAGAGUCACAAGUUAAGUUACCAUAGUAAAUUCUUAAUUUCCUGAUUCUUAAUCCAGAAAUUGAAACAUCUACACUUACUUUUGAAAAUAAAUCAGUAUUCUAUAGAAGCCAUA